This is a long non-coding RNA of Papaver somniferum (opium poppy), 1774 nucleotides long. RefSeq lists it as uncharacterized. The transcript is spliced from 4 exons. The record is from RefSeq and is a predicted model, not a curated record. Lineage: Eukaryota; Viridiplantae; Streptophyta; Magnoliopsida; Ranunculales; Papaveraceae.
UGCGUUACCCAAUCAUCUUCGACGGAGUUAUUGGCAUCAUUUAAUCUCAUUCAUGCGGUGAAAGUCUCAGACGUUUCAUUCGUUGUCGUUCAAUAGAAUUGAAGGUCAACCUUGAAUUCACUCACUUACCGUUUAUCUUCUUUGCAAUCAAUGGGAUUAAACCCACACAAUAUAUCUUUCCGGAAAAUCCAUUAUAAUUCCAAUUCAGUCGAAUUAUAAACCGCACAAAGAAUAUGUUCAAUUGAUCCAUUAUAAUAUCAGUUCUCUUUUUUUUGGUGAUUAGGGAUUCUCCGAUUCGGCAGCAUGCAAGUAAUAUCAGGUACCCUUCUUUAGGUACCAUGAUUAUCAAUUUCUCCACCCUCUCUCAACUGGGUUUUUUUUAUGGUAAUUUCAGGAUCAUGAUUACAUUCAUUUUAUAUACCCGGGUUCUUUAAAGAUUAUUAGUUUAAUUCAUGGAUUUCUAACCAAAUUCUUAGUAGUUAUGUUUUCUUUGCUGCAAACAAUCCUUAAAAACAUGGUUGGUACAAUCAUCAACCGGUUUGGUUUGUAUUUUGUAAUAUGAUUUGUACAAGGUGUUGAGGUGAUAUGAAGCUCUUAUAAGCUUUUAAGCCUUUGUAACAUUUCUGAGGUUUUCGUUCCUGUUAUUCAUAUCUACAAAAAUUCGUAAUCUGGACAGCGGCACAUCUAUGGUCAAACACAAGUGUAAUAAUAGAUUGUGGAAGUGAAUAUCUAAAACCCAUUCAUUUGUUGUUUAUGGCUUCUUUCACUAAUUGUAUUUUGAUUGUGAUUCUUCCGCUUUUCAUGGUUGUUUAUGCUUAAGUCUACUCCUUACCGAUCAAAAAAAAUGCAUCUACUUUUUCUUACCGAUCAAAAAAAUGCAUCUAGCUACUUUUUCGAACGGUAAAAUGGGCAACGGUUCGUGAUAAAUCAAGACAGAAUACAGAGAUCAUCAAGAAACGCAGCCGUUAAAGUUAAUAGAUUAUCAAGACAAAGAGAGUUCACAUCUGCCCUAUCCAAGGUGCACCAAUCAUGCACGGGUUAGUGCAUCUUGGAUGGUGGCCGAUGUAGAGGUAGGAAGAACAGGUCCCCAUACUCCAAUUACCCAAACUAAAUUUGCGACUAGCUGGAAAUAAUUCAAACAAUCAGGAGACGGUAGUGCAUAUUUGGUCAAAGGUGAAGCGGUUAGUUGAUUCAAUCCCAAUAUAUUGUGAAAUUCAACACCUGCAACGGGUUUUGUGCAUUAGUAAAAGUCGUCGAUAAUGUGGGUUUCUUUUACAUCCCAAAAACAUCAGAUUUGGAAGAUGAGAAGAGAGUUUGUAUUCUCUAGGAAAAUUGCAUUUGAGCGUUGACUAACCUAAUUUCCGUUCGUGAUCAAAUGGCCUUUUUUUGGCGGUGCAUAAUUGUUUACUCUUUGGACGUCUACGAUGUGUCUAUUCCCAGUUUCAAGACUUGGACUCGAAACUGCAAUACCUAUCUUUCCAGUUUGAAGACAUGGAUUCGAUACGUAAGUUAUGUUAUGUACAAACUAAUUAACAAUCGAUUCUAAACCCACACCAUUGCCAUCAGCUAUGUUACUCGGCACUAAAGUUUGGUAACAAUUGCAAGUUUCUUUUACUUAGUUUGGGCGGAAAAAAAAAGUGCAUAAGUUUUGAUUUUUUUUUAAGAAUCGGUAAAUGAUCAAUGGUCAUAUCUUGAUUAGUUUCUCGACAUGUUUCGCCAUAAAGUUAUAAAUCGGUCAUUAAAUGUCGGUAAUUUUUGUUUUUACUGGAUAAAA